ACUACUCCAAACCCAUGUGGAACCAUACCAAAGUGUUGCCUCGGCGGGGUCACGCCCCGGGUGCGUCCACCCCCGGAACCAGGCGCCCGCCGGAUGGACCAACCAAACUCUUUUCUGUAGUCCCCUCGCGGACGUUAUUUCUUACAGCUCUGACCAAAAAUUCAAAAUGAGUCACAACUUUCAACAACGGAUCUCUUGGUUCUGGCAUCGAUGAAGAACGCGCCGAAAUGCGAUAAGUAAUGUGAAUUGCAAAAUUCAUUGAAUCAUCCAAUCUUUGAACGCACAUUGCGCCCGCCAGUAUUCUGGCGGGCAUGCCUGUCCGAGCGUCGUUUCAACCCUCCAACCCCUCCGGGGGGUCGGCGUUGGGGACCUCGGGAGCCCCUAAGACGGGAUCCGGGCCCCUAAAUAAAGUGGCGGUCUCGCCGCAGCCUCUCCUGCGCAGUAGUUUGCACAACUCGCACCGGGAGCGCGGCGCGUCCACGUCCGUAAAACACCCAACUUCUGAAAUGUUGACCUCGGACCAGGGUAGGAAUACCCGCUGAACUUAAGCAUAUCAAAA
RNAcentral lists this ribosomal RNA (559 nucleotides) under Trichoderma atroviride. RNAcentral describes it as "eukaryotic LSU rRNA". The stretch from base 176 to 329 matches the Rfam family "5.8S ribosomal RNA". The record is from RNAcentral. Lineage: Eukaryota; Fungi; Ascomycota; Sordariomycetes; Hypocreales; Hypocreaceae.